GAUGAACGCUGACAGAAUGCUUAACACAUGCAAGUCAACUUGGACUUCGGUUUGGGUGGCGGACGGGUGAGUAACGCGUAAAGAACUUGCCUCACAGAUAGGGACAACAUUUGGAAACGAAUGCUAAUACCUGAUAUUAUGAUUUUAGGGCAUCCUAGAAUUAUGAAAGCUAUAUGCGCUGUGAGAGAGCUUUGCGUCCCAUUAGCUAGUUGGAGAGGUAACGGCUCACCAAGGCGAUGAUGGGUAGCCGGCCUGAGAGGGUGAUCGGCCACAAGGGGACUGAGACACGGCCCUUACUCCUACGGGAGGCAGCAGUGGGGAAUAUUGGACAAUGGACCAAGAGUCUGAUCCAGCAAUUCUGUGUGCACGAUGAAGUUUUUCGGAAUGUAAAGUGCUUUCAGUUGGGAAGAAAAAAAUGACGGUACCAACAGAAGAAGUGACGGCUAAAUACGUGCCAGCAGCCGCGGUAAUACGUAUGUCACAAGCGUUAUCCGGAUUUAUUGGGCGUAAAGCGCGUCUAGGUGGUUAUAUAAGUCUGAUGUGAAAAUGCAGGGCUCAACUCUGUAUUGCGUUGGAAACUGUGUAACUAGAGUACUGGAGAGGUAAGCGGAACUACAAGUGUAGAGGUGAAAUUCGUAGAUAUUUGUAGGAAUGCCGAUGGGGAAGCCAGCUUACUGGACAGAUACUGACGCUGAAGCGCGAAAGCGUGGGUAGCAAACAGG
RNAcentral lists this ribosomal RNA (722 nucleotides) under uncultured Fusobacterium sp. RNAcentral's name for it is "bacterial SSU rRNA". It matches the Rfam family "Bacterial small subunit ribosomal RNA", at positions 28 to 776 of the family's 1533-position model. Lineage: Bacteria; Fusobacteriati; Fusobacteriota; Fusobacteriia; Fusobacteriales; Fusobacteriaceae. The record is from RNAcentral.